Trichonephila inaurata madagascariensis is the source of this 72-nucleotide non-coding RNA. NCBI's taxonomy places the organism in Eukaryota, Metazoa, Arthropoda, Arachnida, Araneae, Nephilidae. The record is from the annotation of a GenBank genome assembly.
GUCUCUGUAACGCAAUGGGUAGCGCGUUGGACUUAUGAUCCAGAGGUCGUGGCUCGAAACCCACCUGGGAUG